GGAGUGGAGAGGUGUCAGGUAACAUUAUUCACUCAUGAGUCACUGUUUUUACCUGCCAGUGAAGAACCGGAAGAAUACAGUUUGAGUGGAUUCUACUUAAAUUUUUAAGAGAUAAACAUUGAAAAGAUACUAAUCAAAACGCAUUUGCACCUGUGAUGAGGUGAGUGACCAUGGCGCACCACUAUGAUGGUCUGUCCCACUGUAAGCUGGCCCUGGCAUUUGCCAUAUUAAUGGACCUGCUAGGCGUGUCUGCUCUGCUGGUGGGGGUUUUCGCCCCAUUAGAGAUUAAGGGACAGGACUUUGGGGACCUGCUGGUGUACUCUGGGGUUCUACUAAUGCUCAUGUCCCUGGGAGGAUGGGUCAUGUGGUACAGCGGGAACCUUGAGGGCCUGACCUCCAGGAAGGAGCUAGGGGGAACCAUGGGUGCCAUGGACCGGCUAGCCCGCUCCCUCAGCCGCAGGAUACGACUCCCCAGGAGCCACAGCAGCCCCUCAUGAUGCUUCAUGGUCAGGCGUAGGAGAAGGGUUUGGUUGUAAGGGAGGGUCCUCACUGUCUCCAUUAGACUAUUGGCAGUCAAACUGCCUGGGGGUCUGGGAGUGGUAUUGUUGGCAUUGGGGGAGUGCUAUUAAAUGAACCAGGCUAGGGCCCGUGAUGUGAAUGGGGAAAAGCGGGGUUGGGAGGAGCGCCCUUCUCAAAUCAAACAGUAAUAUGCGCCGCUCGGUCAUGUUGUCAUCAAGGCAGCAUAUGUUCACAUUUUCAAACUAGUUUUCAUUAGGUAAAGCCUUUUUAUCAAAAGCAAUCAUUUGUGUAUGUAAAAACCCAGAAUCCUACUCAUUACUCCACGUGAUUAACCUGUCACUUUUUUUUGGAGCUGACUUCGCCGUCGGCCAAAACGGGGCACUGGGCUCACGACCGGGAGGGAGCCCGAUUCCAAAACAAAUGUAAUCAACCCUAACCCGCUUCACCUGGAGCAGGAAUAAGAUUCAGUUUAAGAUACAUUUUUUUAUAGAACUCCCUCAUUCUUUAACCCAAGUUCCACCGCCUCCACGGUGGAAGAGACUUACAUACUGCUAGUUCACUAGUGUCAAUUGCAAGAUGGAAAAACGGUUGGUCAUUGCUUUUUAUUGUGACUUGACCUUUGCUGAAACACCUCUGGUAGAUAACAGAAUUGUACAGACUGUCUGAAUAGGAUUUUAAACGAUCAAGCAUGGAGGAUAUUCAGAGUUCACUUGGUUGGUUUGUUUAGGCUUGAAUCUGUACAUAAUUGGUCUUUAUAGUCAUAAUAAUCCAUGUGUUGUGGUUUUCUUUGAAUCGUAGUAGGGUUUUUGUAUUAAAUUAUAAAAUUGUAUUAAAACUAUAAAAUAACCUAC
Salmo salar (Atlantic salmon) is the source of this 1370-nucleotide non-coding RNA. NCBI's taxonomy places the organism in Eukaryota, Metazoa, Chordata, Actinopteri, Salmoniformes, Salmonidae. The record is from RefSeq and is a predicted model, not a curated record.